Molecule: ribosomal RNA, 473 nt
Filed under: Acinetobacter baumannii
Lineage: Bacteria; Pseudomonadati; Pseudomonadota; Gammaproteobacteria; Moraxellales; Moraxellaceae
Description: bacterial SSU rRNA
Rfam family: Bacterial small subunit ribosomal RNA
Source: RNAcentral
AGAUGAACGCUGGCGGCAGGCUUAACACAUGCAAGUCGAGCGGGGGAAGGUAGCUUGCUACUGGACCUAGCGGCGGACGGGUGAGUAAUGCUUAGGAAUCUGCCUAUUAGUGGGGGACAACAUCUCGAAAGGGAUGCUAAUACCGCAUACGUCCUACGGGAGAAAGCAGGGGAUCUUCGGACCUUGCGCUAAUAGAUGAGCCUAAGUCGGAUUAGCUAGUUGGUGGGGUAAAGGCCUACCAAGGCGACGAUCUGUAGCGGGUCUGAGAGGAUGAUCCGCCACACUGGGACUGAGACACGGCCCAGACUCCUACGGGAGGCAGCAGUGGGGAAUAUUGGACAAUGGGGGGAACCCUGAUCCAGCCAUGCCGCGUGUGUGAAGAAGGCCUUAUGGUUGUAAAGCACUUUAAGCGAGGAGGAGGCUACUUUAGUUAAUACCUAGGGAUAGUGGACGUACUCGCAGAAUAAGCACCG